Molecule: long non-coding RNA, 1103 nt
Filed under: Homo sapiens (human)
Lineage: Eukaryota; Metazoa; Chordata; Mammalia; Primates; Hominidae
Description: non-protein coding lnc-NOXA1-2:2
Source: RNAcentral
CACAGCAGGAAACCUCUUCACCAACUGUCCACCGCCCACACCAGCAGACAUCCCUCCAACUGUGCACCCCCUGACCAGCAGACAUCCCUCCCAACUGUGUACCCCCUAACCAGCAGACAUGCCUCCCAACUGUGUACCCCCUAACCAGCAGACAUCCCAACUGUCUACUCACUGACCAGCAGACAUCCCCCCAACUGUGCACCCGCUGACCAGCAGACAUCCCUCCCAACUGUGCACCCCCUGACCAGCAGACAUCCCCCCAACUGUGCACCCCUGCAGAGAAAGCAGAGGAGGCCCCACCUCCUGCCAACUAGAGGUAGGAGAUCAAGAAAGCCUCGAAUCUGUAAUGAAGACGCAGCCUGUGCCAGGGUCAGGUGUUCGGGUCUGAGAGCUGAAGAUGGCGCAGAAUGCAGCCUUCACACUGGGCCUGGGCAGCACCUAGUAGGCAGACCAGGGUCAGUUCACGUUCAAACCACACUCCACAAACGUUGGCCAGGACAUGCCCUGUGAAUACAAGCACACUAACAGUGAAAAUUGAAGACUUAAAUGGGAACCAGAGUCUCAUAGCCUAACACUCAAAACAUCAGGACACAAAAUCCACAGUGACCAGGAUGGGUCCACAGUGACCAGGCCACAUCCAUGGUGACCCAGUAUGCCAAGAGCAAGGAGGAUCUGAACCAGAGGAGUAAAAACAAUCCACAGAUAAAAACGACCGCAUGUCACAGACGGAAUUAUUUCUCCAGGACGAUAAAGCUGUUAUCAUUACCAGCUAGAACCAGCAAUCCUGAACACUCCUGAAACAAAGACAAAGAGAGAACGUCCUAGCAAAGAAACAGGAGGCACACAGAAGAACCAAAACACGAUGACAGAACAUUUUUUUAAAACUCUCUGAUAGGCCUCAAAGCAGAAUCGAGAUGACAAAAAGCCAAAGAUCCUGAAGAUAGAUCAAAAGAAACAAUUCCAUCUUAACAUCAGAGAGAGAAAAAAAAGGUUUAAAAAAUGAGCAGUGCCCCAGAGACCUUGGGGACAAUAACGCGAGGUCUAACACUUGUGCCACUUUAUUUCCAGAAGAGGUGGAGGGGCACACGAGUGGAAGAAUCGUU